RNAcentral lists this ribosomal RNA (253 nucleotides) under uncultured bacterium. Its description in RNAcentral is "partial 16S ribosomal RNA". It matches the Rfam family "Bacterial small subunit ribosomal RNA", at positions 524 to 776 of the family's 1533-position model. The record is from RNAcentral.
UACGGAGGGUGCGAGCGUUGUUCGGAAUCACUGGGCGUAAAGGGCGCGCAGGCGGGCUGUCAAGUCAGAUGUGAAAUCCCACGGCUUAACUGUGGACGUGCAUUUGAAACUGGCAGUCUUGAGUACCAGAGGGGAAUGUGGAAUUCCCGGUGUAGAGGUGAAAUUCGUAGAUAUCGGGAGGAAUACCGGUGGCGAAGGCGACAUUCUGGCUGGAUACUGACGCUGAGGCGCGAAAGCGUGGGGAGCAAACAGG